This 252-nucleotide ribosomal RNA is filed under the name uncultured bacterium. RNAcentral's name for it is "partial 16S ribosomal RNA". It matches the Rfam family "Bacterial small subunit ribosomal RNA", at positions 524 to 775 of the family's 1533-position model. The record is from RNAcentral.
UACGUAGGGACCGAGCGUUGUCCGGAUUCAUUGGGCGUAAAGAGCUCGUAGGCGGCCACUCAAGUCGAAUGUGAAACCUCGAGGCUCAACCUCGAGCCUGCAUUCGAUACUGGGCGGCUAGAGUCUGGUAGGGGGAUCUGGAAUUCCUGGUGUAGCGGUGGAAUGCGCAGAUAUCAGGAGGAACACCGGUGGCGAAGGCGGGAUCCUGGGCCAGUACUGACGCUGAGGAGCGAAAGCGUGGGGAGCAACAGG